UACGAAGGGGGCUAGCGUUGCUCGGAAUCACUGGGCGUAAAGCGCACGUAGGCGGACUCUUAAGUCGGUGGUGAAAUCCUGGAGCUCAACUCCAGAACUGCCUUCGAUACUGAGAGUCUUGAGUCCGGGAGAGGUGAGUGGAACUGCGAGUGUAGAGGUGAAAUUCGUAGAUAUUCGCAAGAACACCAGUGGCGAAGGCGGCUCACUGGCCCGGUACUGACGCUGAGGUGCGAAAGCGUGGGGAGCAAAGCAGG
RNAcentral lists this ribosomal RNA (254 nucleotides) under uncultured bacterium. Its description in RNAcentral is "partial 16S ribosomal RNA". It matches the Rfam family "Bacterial small subunit ribosomal RNA", at positions 524 to 777 of the family's 1533-position model. The record is from RNAcentral.